Molecule: ribosomal RNA, 460 nt
Filed under: uncultured bacterium
Lineage: Bacteria
Description: partial 16S ribosomal RNA
Rfam family: Bacterial small subunit ribosomal RNA
Source: RNAcentral
CCUACGGGUGGCUGCAGUGAGGAAUAUUGGUCAAUGGGCGCGAGCCUGAACCAGCCACGUCGCGUGAGGGAGGGCGGCCCUACGGGUUGUAACCCUCUUUUGCCGGGGAGCAACGGGCGUCACGUGUGGCGCCACUGAGAGUACCCGCAGACAAAGCAUCGGCUAACUCCGUGCCAGCAGCCGCGCUAAUACGGGGGAUGCGAUCGUUCUCCGGAUUUAUUGGGUUUAAGGGGGGCGUAGGCGGAUCUGUAAGUCAGUGGUAAAAUGGAGGGGCUCAACCCCUUCCCGCCAUUGAAACUGGCGCUCUUGAGUGGAAGAGAAGUAUGCGGAAUGCGUGGUGUAGCGGUGAAAUGCAUAGAUAUCACGCAGAACCCCGAUUGCGAAGGCAGCAUGCCGGCUUCCGACUGACGCUGAAGCACGAAAGCGUGGGGAUCGAACAGGAUUAGAUACCCCUGUAGUC